CAGUAGUAUAGGGAAUGAGGGUUCUAGACCACUUUUUCGGCCCGCGAUCUCACCCAACUUCCGGUCAGCGGUUUCCAUAUUUUUCCCUCAAAAACGCGGGCUCAUAUUUUUCUAGACCAUUUUUCUAUUAUUUUUGGUAUUAUUUUUUCUAUUAUUUUUGGCAUUAUUUUUUCUAUUAUUUUUGGCGUUAUUUUUUCUAUUAUUUUUGGCAUUAUUUUUUCUAUUAUUUUUCUAUUAUUUUUCAUCAUUAUUUUUUCAACAUUAUUUAACAAUUUACUUUUCCUAUUGAGUGAUGUCCGUACGCGUAACUUGUAACACCAUCUUCAAGUAGGUAUCUUUUAUCAUCGAAACAGCUGAGUGUAAUUUUCUUCAGUUCGUAAGUUCCGAUUUUAUGCUUGAUGCUUCUGAUCGUGUUCAUCUUAUGUCUCAUCCUACCUUUGGUCUUGAUUACGUUCUUAAAGUUUUCGUGAGUGAGUUUGUUUCUGAUCGCGUACUUUUUCACACCUUUCGCUGUCAUUCCACCUCCGCCGCUCUCUUUUACGUAGGAGUACAUCUUUGACCUUAACCCUACGAAUUCAAUCACUGGUACUCCUUCAGCUUCAUCCUUAAACUUUCCAAUUACCUUCUUAUUGUGAGCUGAGUAAUAUGGAGAAUCUUUCGGAUAAUCUGAGUUGUCCCAGCAGUCCUUCUCCUGACCUAUCCUCUUGAAGUCCUCAUACACGUCAUCAGUCUUAAUCUCGUACAUUAGACUUUCAGUGUCUGUGAAUAGAAGCUUCGACUUAUUACCGUACUCCUUCUUGAUUGUGUUGUAAUGGAAGUCGUACAUUAAAGUCUUGGAUAAGUCUAGUAUACUCAUUCCCACAUAGCACGGUUUAUUCAGAGUUAGAACUUCCUUCAUUCUCUUUACCACAAUUAAGUUCUCAUUCAUAAUCCUAUGCGAUUGGAAGCACGGCGACGCUGUAAGUUUUAGGAGGU
Molecule: long non-coding RNA, 975 nt
Filed under: Paramuricea clavata
Lineage: Eukaryota; Metazoa; Cnidaria; Anthozoa; Malacalcyonacea; Plexauridae
Source: RNAcentral